This 1224-nucleotide ribosomal RNA is filed under the name Vibrio sp. RNAcentral's name for it is "bacterial SSU rRNA". It matches the Rfam family "Bacterial small subunit ribosomal RNA", at positions 235 to 1451 of the family's 1533-position model. The record is from RNAcentral. Lineage: Bacteria; Pseudomonadati; Pseudomonadota; Gammaproteobacteria; Vibrionales; Vibrionaceae.
GUGGGAUUAGCUAGUUGGUGAGGUAAGGGCUCACCAAGGCGACGAUCCCUAGCUGGUCUGAGAGGAUGAUCAGCCACACUGGAACUGAGACACGGUCCAGACUCCUACGGGAGGCAGCAGUGGGGAAUAUUGCACAAUGGGCGCAAGCCUGAUGCAGCCAUGCCGCGUGUGUGAAGAAGGCCUUCGGGUUGUAAAGCACUUUCAGUCGUGAGGAAGGUGGUGUAGUUAAUAGCUGCAUUAUUUGACGUUAGCGACAGAAGAAGCACCGGCUAACUCCGUGCCAGCAGCCGCGGUAAUACGGAGGGUGCGAGCGUUAAUCGGAAUUACUGGGCGUAAAGCGCAUGCAGGUGGUUUGUUAAGUCAGAUGUGAAAGCCCGGGGCUCAACCUCGGAAUAGCAUUUGAAACUGGCAGACUAGAGUACUGUAGAGGGGGGUAGAAUUUCAGGUGUAGCGGUGAAAUGCGUAGAGAUCUGAAGGAAUACCGGUGGCGAAGGCGGCCCCCUGGACAGAUACUGACACUCAGAUGCGAAAGCGUGGGGAGCAAACAGGAUUAGAUACCCUGGUAGUCCACGCCGUAAACGAUGUCUACUUGGAGGUUGUGGCCUUGAGCCGUGGCUUUCGGAGCUAACGCGUUAAGUAGACCGCCUGGGGAGUACGGUCGCAAGAUUAAAACUCAAAUGAAUUGACGGGGGCCCGCACAAGCGGUGGAGCAUGUGGUUUAAUUCGAUGCAACGCGAAGAACCUUACCUACUCUUGACAUCCAGAGAACUUUCCAGAGAUGGAUUGGUGCCUUCGGGAACUCUGAGACAGGUGCUGCAUGGCUGUCGUCAGCUCGUGUUGUGAAAUGUUGGGUUAAGUCCCGCAACGAGCGCAACCCUUAUCCUUGUUUGCCAGCGAGUAAUGUCGGGAACUCCAGGGAGACUGCCGGUGAUAAACCGGAGGAAGGUGGGGACGACGUCAAGUCAUCAUGGCCCUUACGAGUAGGGCUACACACGUGCUACAAUGGCGCAUACAGAGGGCGGCCAACUUGCGAAAGUGAGCGAAUCCCAAAAAGUGCGUCGUAGUCCGGAUUGGAGUCUGCAACUCGACUCCAUGAAGUCGGAAUCGCUAGUAAUCGUGGAUCAGAAUGCCACGGUGAAUACGUUCCCGGGCCUUGUACACACCGCCCGUCACACCAUGGGAGUGGGCUGCAAAAGAAGUAGGUAGUUUAACCUUCGGGGGGAC